CCUACGGGUGACAGCAGUGAGGAAUAUUGGUCAAUGGCCGGAAGGCUGAACCAGCCAAGCCGCGUGAAGGACGAAGGUGCCAAGCAUUUUAAACUUCUUUUGUCAAGGGACAAAAUCAGGCUCGAGAGCCUGACCGAGGGUACUUGAAGAAAAAGCAUCGGCUAACUCCGUGCCAGCAGCCGCGGUAAUACGGAGGAUGCGAGCGUUAUCCGGAUUUAUUGGGUUUAGGGGGUGCGUAGGCGGGGUGUUAAGUCAGAGUGAACAGCCAGGGGCUAAACCACGGCGAGCUGUUGAAACUGGCUGUCUGGAGAGGUGGAGAGGUAUGCGGAAUGCGCAGUGUAGCGGUGAAAUGCGUAGAUAUUGCGCAGAACUCCGAUUGCGAAGGCAGCAUACCGGCGGCGAUCUGACGCUGAGGCACGAAAGCGUGGGUAUCGAACAGGAUUAGAUACCCUUGUAGUC
RNAcentral lists this ribosomal RNA (459 nucleotides) under uncultured bacterium. RNAcentral describes it as "partial 16S ribosomal RNA". It matches the Rfam family "Bacterial small subunit ribosomal RNA", at positions 338 to 795 of the family's 1533-position model. The record is from RNAcentral.